UGCAGUCGUACGAGAAGCCUCUUCGGAGGUGAGUAAAGUGGCGCACGGGUGAGUAACGCGUGGGUAAUCUGCCCUUAGGUUUGGGAUAACCCCGGGAAACCGGAGCUAAUACCGAAUGAGACCACGAUGACUUCGGUCGAUGUGGGAAAAGGUGGCCUCUUCUUGAAAGCUACCGCCGAAGGAUGAGCCCGCGUUUGAUUAGCUUGUUGGUGAGGUAAAGGCUCACCAAGGCUCCGAUCAAUAGCUGGUCUGAGAGGACGAUCAGCCACACUGGAACUGAGACACGGUCCAGACUCCUACGGGAGGCAGCAGUCGGGAAUAUUGGGCAAUGGGCGAAAGCCUGACCCAGCAACGCCGCGUGAAGGAUGAAGGCCUUCGGGUCGUAAACUUCUGUCGAGAGGGAAGAAUUGCGUACGGUCAAUAUCCGUGCGUUUGACGGUACCUCCAAAGGAAGCACCGGCUAACUCCGUG
RNAcentral lists this ribosomal RNA (471 nucleotides) under uncultured bacterium. RNAcentral's name for it is "bacterial SSU rRNA". It matches the Rfam family "Bacterial small subunit ribosomal RNA", at positions 56 to 507 of the family's 1533-position model. The record is from RNAcentral.